CAGCAAAUAUAUACACACAAAAUAAUACUCUCUGUUAUCCCUAACCCCCCCACCCCCCGAAACUCUUCUCCGCCGACUUUUUUUUUCUUCACCGGAAAAUCUUCGAGUUCUUCGCCGGUGUUAUUUGCUUCGAUUGCAACUCCGUUUUCUUCUUCUUCAAUCAAAUCUGUGUGUGAUUGCUGUUUGCGCCGUCGCCGAAUCUUCAAAAGAGUUUUCGGUUUUUUUUCAUGAUCUGUGAAGAGUCUGAUCUGAUCUAACCCGUCGAUCUGAGAUAUGGAUAGGAUCGUUGGAGGUAAAUUCAAGCUCGGACGAAAAAUCGGUAGUGGAUCGUUUGGUGAAAUUUUUCUCGCUACGCAUAUUGAUUCAUUUGAGAUCGUCGCUGUCAAAAUUGAGAACAAUAAGACCAAACAUCCUCAACUUCUCUACGAGGCCAAGUUAUACAAUAUUCUCCAGGGAGGAAGUGGUGUACCACAUAUAAAAUGGUCUGGUGUGGAUGGUGAUGACAAUGUUCUGGUCAUGGAUUUAUUGGGUCCUAGCUUGGAAGAUCUCUUUGUCUAUUGUGACCGGAAGCUUUCAUUGAAGACUGUUUUAAUGUUGGCUGACCAGAUGAUUACCAGAAUCGAAUAUGUACAUUCUAAGGGCUUUCUACACAGGGAUAUUAAACCUGACAACUUUCUGAUGGGUCUUGGUCGGAAAGCAAAUCAGGUUUAUAUUAUUGAUUUUGGUCUUGCUAAAAGAUAUCGUGAUGCGACUACAAAUCGCCAUAUUCCUUACAGAGAGAACAAAAAUUUAACUGGAACAGCACGCUAUGCCAGUUGUAAUACUCAUCUCGGAAUUGAGCAAAGCCGGCGGGAUGAUUUAGAAUCUCUUGGAUAUGUUCUCCUUUAUUUCUUGAGAGGCAGCCUCCCAUGGCAGGGUCUAAAAGCUGCCACAAAGAAGCAAAAGUAUGACAAAAUAUGUCAAAAGAAGUUAUCAACUCCUAUUGAGGUUUUAUGCAAGUCUCAUCCUGUUGAGUUUGCUUCGUACUUCCAUUACUGUCAUUCAUUGACAUUUGAUCAGCGACCUGAUUAUGGAUUCUUAAAGCGCCUCUUUCGUGAACUUUUUACCCGUCAAGGAUAUGAAUUUGAUUACAUAUUUGAUUGGACCAUCCUAAAGUACCAACAGGCACAAACAAGUAAAUCACAGCAUCGGCAAGUUGGUGGUGAAAGUAGCCGAGCAAUUCCAAUGGAUGUUGAAAAGCGUCAAGUUUCUACAGGCAACAAUGGACCUUAUGUUGCUGAGGUAACUGAUCGCAUAAGGCCGAAUAAUCCUUCCAGUCCUGGAAUUCGGAUGCAAUUUAAGUCACCAACAAACAGGAAUUUAACUUCCGCCAAUCUUGAGAGAAAUGUAUUAAGUAGUGCUCAUAUGCCAUCUUCUUCAUUGGCUCCUGUUUUACCAAGAGCAAAUGCCACAAAACCUGUUUUACCCACUGAAACAACACAUGAUGGUGAUAAUGGAGGCAGCAGCUGGAUGUCCUCCUUGCGACGUAUUUCUUCUGCAAAGUGAUAAAAAGGAUAAGAUGAAGAUGAAGUUGGGGCAAGUGUGCCUUCAAAUUGGGCAGCUCAUACUUAUUUUAUGAUUACAAGCUGGUUCGGAUGACUAUGGUGGCUGAUCAUGGCCUGCUGCAAUUUCAUGAGUUCAAGAGGGUGGUGUGAAUUGAGCUGGACAUGAAAGCAGAUGGCGGCUGUUUGUCUUUCUAUUGGAGCUCGGGUUAGAUAUUUUUCCUAAGAUGACUAUAAACAAAUUGGUCCAUCCUUGCAUUAAGAUCAGGAUGGUUCCUGUCCGCCGAAAAAAUGAAGCACUAGAGACAUCUUUGUCUCCUAAUGUAAAAUAGAUCAUAUGCGAUUGUCAAAAAUUGUGCAGUUCCUUUUGUGCAUACAGUGGUGGUUAUUUUCUUCACUUGCUUCUUUACUUGCAAAGUUGCAUGUGUUGUAAUCUUUAUUGCUUAAUUUUGUGGUGAGCCAAUGGUUUGUUGCAAACAUGUUGAUAAUGGAAUUGGAUCUAGUACAGCAAUGAAAUUUUUGAUUAGUUCGGAAAUGUGAUAAACAAAUGAAAUCACUUUCUGUGUUCUCAUCAGAAGGAUUAUGAAGUUUUGAUGUACAGAUUGAUUUAUGGACUUUUCUUUCUCCACCACUCAUCCCACACUCUUACAUUAAAGUCUUAUCGCUCUUUUGAAUACUGUUUCCAUCUGGCCAAUAGGUGAGCUUGCCACCAGGUAAUGUUUUGUUGUUAGUUUUGAUUUGGUAAUUUCCUGUGAGUUCUCUGAUUUGCUCGAGAUGAUUCCCCUAUUAACAAUAAGCAGUUUUGACCAACCUUAGAUGUGCUUAGGCUGGCAUAUGUACUGUGACUAGCCUUCACACUUUCUUUUAAAACAAAAAGACUAGAUUCCAAACUUUUCUGUUAACAUAUUGUCCGUUGGCUAUUGAUCAAGUUAUUUGCAAUCAGCUUCUCAAUUAUUGUCAUCCUUUUGCAAUUUGCAGGACCCGUGAGAUGUGGUUUCUGUCGGUGUAAUGGUUCCGUUGGAUUCAAUAAACUCCAGAAGAACAGGAACUAGUGAUUGCGUUGUUUGGUUUGUUGAUUGCGCGAGGGAUCAAGUAUGUAAUGGACAAGUAUUCACUGGUUCCUCGGUACCAUUCUGCCUGAGCUUAUAUUCCUGGUCUCAAGUGUCUUUGCUUCUAGACUUGCUAGGUUCGCGAUGAAAUCAUGCUGAAAAACUUUUUGCCUUUGCAACUGUGAUCGAGUAAUGAAGCUAGCCUCUGAAUGAUGUAUGAACUGAAUAUCUAGUCCUAUUGGACUUGUCAGGACUUGAGACUGGGAGUUUCAACACCCAAAGUUCGUGCUGAUUUCAUUUUCAGCGAGGCUAUGGUGCACCAUCAUGGUGCUGGAAGAAUAUUUGGUUACACGUUUAAGUCCCAGGUUACAUAAAUAAUCAAGCUUCAAGAAAAAGUCGAAUCAUGGCGAAAACACCAGAGAAGGAGGAGGAAAGAAAGCGAAAUUCUCCAUUGAUGAACCUCCCUGUUCUUGAAGAAGAAACAGAGGGCAAAAAAAUGGAAUCAGAAAUUCCAGAAAGAGCUUUUUUGUCUGACUUUCCGAAGAAAUCAAGAACCCCGCGAAUCAAAAAGGCAGGAAGUUCUACUAAAUUGGCAAAACCAGAAUCUGGGCAUGAAGAAAAUCACAGUGCUUCAUUGGAAAAACUCAUCAUUAAUCUUGAUGACGACAACGACGAAGAAGAAGAAGAGUUGGAGACCCAAAUUGAUAAGAAAAUUGAUUCAUCACACUGGAGAAGUAGCUUUAAUAUGAAAAAUCAGAGUGAUUCAGUGAAAAAAAACACUAUUCUUGAUGACGACAACGAAGAAGAAGAAGAAAAAGAGUUGGAGACCCAAAUUGCAGAAAAAUACUUGGGUUUGAAAAAUAAGAGUGCUUUAGGGAAAAUGAACACCAUUCUUGAUGAAGAAGAAGAGUUGGAGAAAAUGGGAUCAAAAAGAAGAAAUCUUGAUGUUGAAUCAACAACCCCACAGACCCAAAUCGUACAAAAUUCAAAAAUUGGCUACAGCAUUGAUGGAAAAAAGUUACCAAAACCAGAAUUUGGUUACAGCAUUGAUGGAGAAAAGUUAUCAGAACGCCCCCAAAUUGAGGAAAUACUCGAUAUUAUUGGAGAUUGCAGUAAGCCUUUUGAGAAAAAGCUGUUAAAAUAUGAAGUUGACAGGAUUUCAUUUCACAGAAAUGAUGUGAAAAAUGGAAUUCUUCCGUAUCUGAACGAAGAUGAAACUGUCAAGCUUCAAAAGGAGGGGAUUCUAGUGAGCACUUACGAUGAAUUUGGGAAUCGUUAUGAGAUGAAAUUCGAGUCGUAUAAUAAUAGUUUCUACAGGCUUUGCAAUGGAUGGAAAAGGUUGUAUAAAUAUCAUGGGCUGAAGGAAGACGAACAUUGUUACGUUGAUGUUUGGAUGUUUCGACAUAAAGAAAAUGAUGGAAUAUGUUUUGCUGUGAUUCUGAAGAGGUAAAAGUUCUUUUGAUUAGUAGUUAAUCAUUGUCAUUAGAGUUAAUCUUGAUGAAUUAGAGUCUUGUAGUCUUUUGCAGUAAAAGUUCUUUUGAUUAGUAGUUAAUCAUUGCCAUUAGUGUUAAUCUUGAGGAAUUGGAGUCUUGUUAAUGUCUUUUGCAGUAAAAGUUCAGUUCUUUUUUUA
RNA transcript from Solanum tuberosum (potato), 4220 nucleotides. It is a transcript of the gene named casein kinase I, with no coding region annotated. The record is from RefSeq and is a predicted model, not a curated record. NCBI's taxonomy places the organism in Eukaryota, Viridiplantae, Streptophyta, Magnoliopsida, Solanales, Solanaceae. The transcript is spliced from 16 exons.